RNAcentral lists this ribosomal RNA (626 nucleotides) under Salmonella enterica. RNAcentral's name for it is "partial 23S ribosomal RNA". It matches the Rfam family "Bacterial large subunit ribosomal RNA", at positions 711 to 1334 of the family's 2925-position model. Lineage: Bacteria; Pseudomonadati; Pseudomonadota; Gammaproteobacteria; Enterobacterales; Enterobacteriaceae. The record is from RNAcentral.
AGACCCGAAACCCGGUGAUCUAGCCAUGGGCAGGUUGAAGGUUGGGUAACACUAACUGGAGGACCGAACCGACUAAUGUUGAAAAAUUAGCGGAUGACCUGUGGCUGGGGGUGAAAGGCCAAUCAAACCGGGAGAUAGCUGGUUCUCCCCGAAAGCUAUUUAGGUAGCGCCUCGUGAAUUCAUCUCCGGGGGUAGAGCACUGUUUCGGCUAGGGGGCCAUCCCGGCUUACCAACCCGAUGCAAACUGCGAAUACCGGAGAAUGUUAUCACGGGAGACACACGGCGGGUGCUAACGUCCGUCGUGAAGAGGGAAACAACCCAGACCGCCAGCUAAGGUCCCAAAGUCAUGGUUAAGUGGGAAACGAUGUGGGAAGGCCCAGACAGCCAGGAUGUUGGCUUAGAAGCAGCCAUCAUUUAAAGAAAGCGUAAUAGCUCACUGGUCGAGUCGGCCUGCGCGGAAGAUGUAACGGGGCUAAACCAUGCACCGAAGCUGCGGCAGCGACACUGUGUGUUGUUGGGUAGGGGAGCGUUCUGUAAGCCUGCGAAGGUGGCCUGUGAGGGUUGCUGGAGGUAUCAGAAGUGCGAAUGCUGACAUAAGUAACGAUAAAGCGGGUGAAAAGCCCGCU